UCUUUAAUAACUACACAUUUAUUUCAAGACUUCAGACCAACUUUAUCAACAACACUGAAUGCUCAUAAAUAUCUUCACAAAAAAUAAAGGCAAUCUUUCAGAAAACAUGUUCAGUACAACACUUGCAUCAGUAGAAAUUCUGUCCUUUGGGUGGCAGAAAAGUCAUAAUCCCCAUUUAAAUCUUUCCAAAGGGACAUAACCAGGAAUCUAAACCAGAAGGCGAUUUUUUCAUUAAUUGUUAUGGAAAGCACAAACAAUGCUUCCAAAACACUGAAAGACUGCACUGUUUCAAUAAGCAUGUAUGGGUUUACAAUCAAUAGUCACUGUCCUGUAAACAUUGAAACUGCUGGUCUAACUGCAAGAUAAGAUUAGUAAUUUGCACUCAUUUCACUGCACACGUACAAUGGCUACACUGUUAAUUACAUUAACUAGCAAAAGGAAUGAAGGCUUUAAGCUGGAUCACUCCUACAAGCCAAGUGUCAAAUCAGUAUCUGUUGACAUUAUAAAUAAAACUUUAACAUUGCUUUUAUGCAUUAUAAAAUCAGUCUAAUAAAACUAAAUCUUAGAAUAGCAGCCAAUUGUAACUGUUCAAAAAUAUAUAUGAAUUUUCAGUCAGUCAGCUAUAAAUACGUACUGCAAUGGGAGGAAGAUACCAUCUCUCAUUCCCAAGCAGGCUUUCAAGGAGGACACAGUAUAAAGCAAGGAAUGCUGCAGUAAGACUCCUAAACAGUUGCAUUCUACAAACUUGUUUUCAUCGUUACCUGAAAGUGCAUCUUUGUAUCUGUAGAAUCAUCCCCAUAUCUACAAAAAAGUACAAACAUUGCAAUUUUGCCACACUCUAAGCCUGUCUAACCUGGAUUUUCUGUUAAGUGCAAAACGUGUAUGAAGUGAUACAUGCCCUGGUACAUAUAAGAUCAAAACCUAAAGAUGAGGCAACGCUUGUCACCAUGAAUCCAAGGUAGUUCAGUAGUUGCUGAGUCUUUACUGGAGAGCUAUUAAAUGGCUGAAGUAGAAGCUGAAGAAGAAAUUAACCAGCAGUCUAAGCCCAACAGCCAGGGCCAUGUUCUAGAGCAGGAUGUCCGUUCCCCUGCUCUCCACACACCUUCACCACCACAGACUCCUGCCUUUGUUACUAGUUUCAGUGGGGUCCAAAGGGCAGGGAGGCAGCCUAGCGGAAGAGGAAAAGCACAGUUACUGUGAAGGUUGUAAGGAAGAGGUAUGAGGCACAGACUGAGAGUAUCUAAUGCCAGGUCACUCAAGCUCACCCCUCCAGCGCAUCCCCAGUUUCAGUGCUGGAGUAUGGAUCGUUGGCUGUGCCACACAGGGUGUACCUGCACACAGUCAGUACAUUACAAAACACCUAUGCAGCUAAAUCUGUUGAGUGACAUUAAGUCCUUUUUAUGUGUCACAACAGCUCCUCUUACCUUCUGCUCCCACAAAAUGAGGCUUCAUUUCAUAAUGUCACAUUUAUAUGCCAACAGACUGCUGCAGACUAAUGUGCAUGCGUAAAUGCUUAACAAUUCCAAACAGCUGAUAUUUCCAAAGUGAGUAUAUUGUUUGCUCUUUAAAGAAAUGCAAUCUGCACAAUACUUGUAAGAGGGUAACUGUGAAGAUUAAUGAACAAUUGUCUAUACCAGUUAAUUUAGUUUUCUCCCUUAUUUAAGUCUUGCAGUGAACUAUGCUACAGCUUCUUCUAGUUUUUAAAAUGCUGAAAUAGCCACUGCCAUUAGACAUGCACAAACUUCAUUAAAAUCUAAAAGAGCAAGAGGAGCUCAAACUGUGCAGAGACUGUACUAUAAACACAGUUGUGCUUUCAUUAUAUUGGCAUCAUGUCUUCUUGUAAAGCACAUGCCCAUUAGAAAUAUGUGCUGGGAAACUCAGAGGGAGCAGAAAGAGAGCAAGCUCUGCCUCCUGUCCAAAAUUGGUAAGAGAAAGAUCCAGAAGUGAGUGCUAUCAGAAUGGUGUAACACAGCAAAAGCUGUACAGGUAGGCACUGUGAAAGGAAAUACAAUAAGGCUUAUUUUUAAAGGGUGUGUUUCAUGUGCACGUGAAAAAGUUUUUGGCAAAAUAACAGUUUCAUUUAAAAAUCAAUGCAAUUAAAAGUAUCAGUUUUAACUAUACAAAUCAAGUGUGAAAGCCAUGGGGGAAAAGCAGCAAAUGUUCUGAAGUAGCACCUGUAUCCUAGGGAUGAGCCUUCGAAUUUGGGUUCUAAUUCAAGACAGAGGUAAUGUCUUUACCCCUCGAAACAGAUUUUAACCAGCUGACCACCUUCUCUUGUCUGCAGGAGCGGGGUAUCUGAAAUGAAGCAUGGUUUUCAGGACCCUUCUCUCCCCCAUGCUGGCAAAGAAUUGUAGGACACUAGUAAAAGGUCUGGAACGCAUAUCUCGGCAGGAGAGAUGCUAGCUUUGCUGUCUGUGCCUGCCAUGGUUUACAGGCAAGGUAAAGGGCAGGGCAGUGCAGAGAGUGUGCUCAGAGUAGUAAUGAGCCCGCGUCUCCUCCUUGUCUAUAGAUGACGGUUCCUGGUCCUGUGUCCCUGAUGUUGAUUGACACUUAAUUUUGACAGAACCAAGCCUCUUCCCAACACUUUUGUUACUGAAUUAUUUAAAGCACUUGGACAAGUUACCACUAGGUUCUCACAGCACUCAAAGACUCAGUGCUAAGAAUCAGUUAUCUGCCCACUACCAUGUAAAUUAUAUGGCACUGUUUUGCUCAAUGUAAAGGAUAAGUCAAAAUAACUCAAAAUGUUUCAUAUUAACUGCAAAGAGUUAUCUACUCUCUUCAAGGAAGUCUUACAUACUAUGGAAGAAAAUACUAGACCUUCUCAGAUACUAUGUGUGAUGAAAACGUAAGAAAAAAAUGUAUCUUGAUAUGCAGGCCUUUACACACACAGAUAAAACAGGAACAUCUUAAUAGAGGGGUUAAACAUUGAGUUUCUCCUUUUUAAAAGCUGUACAGCAGCUUUUCUAUCUAAACUGCCCAGGAAUCUGUUUUGUCUUCAAAACAUACCAAGCAUUAUUUUAUGAUGCACAGAGACCUUAAAUGCUAGGUGUAUUUUUCUUAAGACAUGUUUUCAUUCCAGUGUGGCACUUGUCUGCUGAAACAACACAUAGGAGUUGGGUUCUGGAAGAAAAGAAAAAGUCAAAAAAAAAGAAAACUCAAAGCCUUCCUGUUCUGCACCAGGAUCCCCUCUGACAGUCAUGAGGAGAACACAUUCUGUCACCUUGCUACCACAACAUUACCUAACACAGGCUGGUGCAGUGUUCCAGGGCUGGAAAAUCCCCAUGGAAGGAUAUGCCACAGUAAGGGGCCCUCUGAUUAAAAUACCGUGACCCGAGAGUUUCAUGUUAUUUCAGAUAACAGAUACUGAGCAAGAGGAAGAGAGAGACAGAUCCUUAAUGAGCCAAGAACAUGAAACACUGUCAGCUGCAGGAUUCUGUACGUCUGGAAAAACAGUAAGACAGGUUGAUUUACUUAGGCUGCAGAAGAUGGUCAGUACCAGAAAGCUGAAAGCUUACACAUGUUUUCUGUAACAAAAAGUCAAGUUUUCCUCUCCAUUACUGAGUCAGCCACUGGAAAAAAGACCAUGCAUUCUUUCUCCUGCUCUGAGGGCACAAAGCAAUUUCUCUGGCUUUCUGGACAACUACAAGCAGCAAUCAAUUUCACAUUUCCUCUCUAAUUUGUAAGCUUCAUCCUGAGAGAGCAUACCCUGAAAUACAACAAUUUACCCUUCUUAUUUGUAAUGCUGGUACCACGAUGUCAGAAGAGCUUCAGCUGAUCCUUCAUGCCCAGGUUCUGAAGCAGAGACAACCCUGUAUUUAAUGUUCAGGAGAUGGGGAUUUUAUCUCUACUAUCCACACUAUCUCCUUCAUAGCAUGACUCCAGUUUGCAUGCUGAAUAAAGAGAUAACAUGUAAUCCACAUGGUGAACAUGAAGAACAUCCCUAAAAUUAAAUGAACAAUUUUAACAAUUAACAGGCUUCACUGAAAACACGAGUCAGUCCUCUAAAUGCAUCUCUACUAGAACACUAAGAAUAGAAGGAAUCACUGAAUAGGAGGGAGAAGCUGCAGGCAGGUGCCAUUUCUGCAUGGCUGUUUGUUCAUAGCUUUAGCUGUAUCAUUCUGUUGCUACAGAUGACUGUCUUGCAGCACCCACAUUGACACGCUUGUCUGCACUAUGACUGGAAAGCAGAAAGCGCAGGUACUGAUCAGAUGUAGCUGAAGCUGGCACAGUGCUUAGAGUACAUACUGAUGAGCAAGACCCACCAAGAACUGCCUAAGCACGUGACUGGCUUCAACACAAAACAGCUUUUGUGUAUUUCAAAGUUAUACUACAGUCCCCUGAAGCAGCUGGAGAAGUUUCCCUAGAGGCAUUGGCAAGAGGAACGCUCCUAAAGCUUGAGUGAUUAAUUCAUACCAUCCAUAGAUAGAUUAGUUAUUACCAUGCAGCAGAGGACAAGUAAGCCCACUUGGCUAGCAAAGGGGGUUUUGGCCAACAUAGCUUAAAGUAUCUCCAAGCAGCAGAUGCACACAAGUGGCAAAACCAAGCAGCACAACUGGCUCAGAGGGCCCCUUGUGUAUGAUGCUGACCUGAAGUGAAAGGUUCAGUCACUAGAGAACCACAGUGAGAUGAGACCAGCAGAGAUGCAAGUGAAGGCCAACACGACUACGGCCAUGGACAGCAGAUGUAUAAUAGUGCAUGGCAGAUCAUCAUGUCUGCUCUAAUGCCAGUCUCGAGCAGGAAGCUAUUCUAGAUCCCCACAAAAAAGAAGUACUGGAUCCCCACAUCUUCAGCAAAUGGUAAGCACAGAGAGGUGAUGUCACAGGACAUGACGGAGGAAUGGCCUCUGAGAAGCACACACACACACACCAAGUGAGAAAAGACAGCCACUGUGUCCCUGGGCCCACACUGAUAAAAUCUACCAAGGCCUUGAGGAGGCUGUCCAGGUAAGUGAGUUUUCAUGACGGCUGUUGCAUUCCCAGUUACCUGGAACCUGCAGCAUGUUAUGCACACACUACAGGCUUCAGUACCUCCUCAGGCUCCUCAGUGAAGGUAUGCUAUACUUCGGUUCAGCUCUAACAUAUGACUGUGCUCAUUUACUGACGUGAAUGCUAAAUGGUACUUCUUUUACCCUAAUCAGUGAUUAUUCUUUUAGUCUUCUAGCUUGCUGUUAGCUAACAGUCCAACUGUGACAAAUUAAUCACAAGUAAAGACAAAAAGAAAAGUCUGGUGUCAAAGGUAAUGGUUUCAAUGAUAGAAAACCAUCAGUAGAAUAUAAUACCACCUCAUGUGUUCUCGUUCCUCUUUCGUAUCAGAGUGUAGCUGCUGAAAUUCGAAUGCCUUUUAAAAUAGGGUUUGGCUGAAUAAUAUAGGAGAAACUAAGCUGCAGUUGAAAACUUGCUCUACAAACUGUUUCCCCUUCAUUCAUUCUGUCCAAAUACUGUUGAACUAAACUCUGAAAUAUUUUG
This is a long non-coding RNA of Strigops habroptila (Kakapo), 5465 nucleotides long. Lineage: Eukaryota; Metazoa; Chordata; Aves; Psittaciformes; Psittacidae. The record is from Ensembl.